Long non-coding RNA from Liolophura sinensis, 719 nucleotides. RefSeq lists it as uncharacterized. The record is from RefSeq and is a predicted model, not a curated record. Lineage: Eukaryota; Metazoa; Mollusca; Polyplacophora; Chitonida; Chitonidae. The transcript is spliced from 3 exons.
CUAUACCGCAUUAAAAUAACCGUGUAUUUAUCAAGUUCACUACACACCCCUUAUAAUUUCUCUGUAAUUUAUCCGCCCACGACCCAGAGAAAGCCUUUCUAUCCUUCGGUUCAAACCACCAGAGACAAAAUGAGCUACAACCAGCAGGGAGGCUAUUAUCAGGGCCAGCCACAACCAGGCUAUCAACAAACCACGACUGUUUACUCCUCACAACCACAAGUCGUAUAUGUGCGGGACGAGCAUUGCCACCGUGACGGUGAUGCCCAGAUGGCUGCGGACUGCUGUUUGUUAGCUUGCUGUUGGACAUUGUUAUGUUGCUGUCUGACCAGUAAUUAACUCUGGCAGUCGUCUCUAUUAUGCAAAAACGGCUGCCAGAAUGUGACUGGAAUAUGUUUGUAAAUUGUCUUGGAUUUUUUCCAAGGUUGACGUAUUAUAUGUGUAUACAAGAUGAAAAAUGGACUUACACUUUCCUGAGAUGACCCUCAAUUUUCUACAGCUAUAUCCAUAUUGUUGAGAUUCCAUAGAUAUAUCAUGGCAAUUUUUUUUGAAAGACAUGUUUACUGAGAAUGGCGAUGUUCCAUUCCACACUUGGACGUAACUUCCUCCUCUAGUUGACAACCUGUACAAUGUUUCCUGUUUGAAUAGCUAUCUUGGACCAAUAAGUACUUGCGAUAGUAGAAUGUGUUAAGCAUAUAUCGUACUCUUGCAUGGGAGACGGC